CCGGUAAACGGCGGCCGUAACUAUAACGGUCCUAAGGUAGCGAAAUUCCUUGUCGGGUAAGUUCCGACCUGCACGAAUGGCGUAAUGAUGGCCAGGCUGUCUCCACCCGAGACUCAGUGAAAUUGAACUCGCUGUGAAGAUGCAGUGUACCCGCGGCAAGACGGAAAGACCCCGUGAACCUUUACUAUAGCUUGACACUGAACAUUGAGCCUUGAUGUGUAGGAUAGGUGGGAGGCUUUGAAGUGUGGACGCCAGUCUGCAUGGAGCCGACCUUGAAAUACCACCCUUUAAUGUUUGAUGUUCUAACGUUGGCCCCUGAUCGGGGUUGCGGACAGUGUCUGGUGGGUAGUUUGACUGGGGCGGUCUCCUCCUAAAGAGUAACGGAGGAGCACGAAGGUUGGCUAAUCCUGGUCGGACAUCAGGAGGUUAGUGCAAUGGCAUAAGCCAGCUUGACUGCGAGCGUGACGGCGCGAGCAGGUGCGAAAGCAGGUCAUAGUGAUCCGGUGGUUCUGAAUGGAAGGGCCAUCGCUCAACGGAUAAAAGGUACUCCGGGGAUAACAGGCUGAUACCGCCCAAGAGUUCAUAUCGACGGCGGUGUUUGGCACCUCGAUGUCGGCUCAUCACAUCCUGGGGCUGAAGUAGGUCCCAAGGGUAUGGCUGUUCGCCAUUUAAAGUGGUACGCGAGCUGGGUUUAGAACGUCGUGAGACAGUUCGGUCCCUAUCUGCCGUGGGCGCUGGAGAACUGAGGGGGGCUGCUCCUAGUACGAGAGGACCGGAGUGGACGCAUCACUGGUGUUCGGGUUGUCAUGCCAAUGGCACUGCCCGGUAGCUAAAUGCGGAAGAGAUAAGUGCUGAAAGCAUCUAAGCACGAAACUUGCCCCGAGAUGAGUUCUCCCUGACUCCUUGAGA
This 909-nucleotide ribosomal RNA is filed under the name Escherichia coli. RNAcentral describes it as "partial 23S ribosomal RNA". It matches the Rfam family "Bacterial large subunit ribosomal RNA", at positions 1920 to 2833 of the family's 2925-position model. The record is from RNAcentral. Lineage: Bacteria; Pseudomonadati; Pseudomonadota; Gammaproteobacteria; Enterobacterales; Enterobacteriaceae.